This 5341-nucleotide long non-coding RNA is filed under the name Brassica rapa (field mustard). RNAcentral's name for it is "long non-coding RNA (BRAP_LNC003073)". Lineage: Eukaryota; Viridiplantae; Streptophyta; Magnoliopsida; Brassicales; Brassicaceae. The record is from RNAcentral.
AUAAUACUUGUUACUUGCAAAAUAAAAUUUAUCUUGUCUUUUGUUUAAUAAACAAGACAACCCAUUAUAAAAUAAAAUAUGAAAACCCAUAUUAAAAAAGUCAAACCCCCUUGGCUAAUUACUUAUAGAACACCUAUUUGGGGUAAACAGUAGUUCAAUGUUAAAUCACAUAGUUAGAUCUUGAGUUUCAUAUGUUCUUUCAAUAUUUCGAACGCUUAUUUUCAUUUUUAUUUACUUCUUAAAAAAUUUAUGUGAUUUUUGAAUGUUAAAAAUUUAGAAUAUGUAUCUCUUUUGUAUGUAAUCAAGAAAUUACUUGCAAGUAUCAUUUUUUCUUUCAAAGUAUUUGUUUCAAACAAGUCAAGUAACAAGUUUUAAAAAAAACUAGUCGAACAAACCAAGUCAAGUAGCAAGUAACCAAGAAUUGACAAGUACUUGUCUUGUGCCCACCCCUAAAGAGGUUAAAAACAAUUGCAUGUACUUUACAAAAAAAAAAAAAACAAUCACCAUCUUCGCCUACAUAUCAAAUUAAUAUUUGUAUAUACUAUUAUCUCGCAGUAUUUAGGUAUAGAACACGAACUCAAGAACACAAGAACUUCAAGUCCAAAUAUCAGUUUCUUAUUAAUCACUCAAUCACUCACUCAAAACUCGUAAUCAUUACAACUCAAUGGUAAUCACUUAUAUAGGACAUAACAAUUCCUAUUCUCAUUAGGAAUAACACAAAUCAUAUUUCCUAAUCACUUUAGUAAUCCAUAUCUUUGUGUGAUUAGGUUAGCUUGUACUUCAAGCUAUCUUUCAAGUUUAUCUCCAACAAUCUCCCUCUUAAACUUGAAAUUAUCUUCACUCACCAUUUGGACUCCAAUCAAUUUCCUCAUCUCGAUAAGUUUUACUCUUCCAAGAGAUUUCGUCAAAAUGUCAGCUCGCUGCUCAGUUCCCGGAACGUGCUCUACUUCUACUUGAUCAUUCUCAACGCACUCUCUUAUAAAAUGAAACCUCCUGUGUAUGUGUUUGCUUCGUCCAUGGAAUACUGGGUUCUUCGUCAAUGCGAUUGCAGAUUUAUUAUCUACCUUUAUAACCACCUUUCGGCUUUCAUUACCAAUGACUUCCCCUAGAAGUUCUUGAAUCCAAAUUGCCUGUUUAGCUGCUUCAGUUGCUGCCAUAAACUCGGCUUCACAUGAUGAUAGGGCCACGAUUUCUUGUUUGCAAGAACACCACGAGAUUGGACUAGCAUUCAGGUAAAACACAUAUCCCGUAGUACUCUUCCCAUCAUCAAUAUCAACAUUGAGAGAGGCAUCACUAAAGCCUGUCAGCUCCAAGCUUGUGGACUGUGUAUAGACGAGACCAAGUGAGAUGGUUCCUCGCAGGUAUCGUAGUACCUGUUUUAACGCAGCACCAUGCGACUCCUUAGGAGCGUGCAUGUAUCUACUCAGAACACCCACACUAAACGAGAGAUCAGGCCGCGUGUGGAGCAAGUAUCGCAGACAUCCAAUACUCCUUCGAUAAUCUCUUUCAUCAAUGCUCUUCUCUUCUAUCGAUUUAGCCAACUUCACGUUAAAAUCCAUGGGAACAGUGGUUGAGUUACAUGCGUCCAUUCCACAUUCUUCAAGUAUCUUACGAGCAUAUCGAUCUUGUUUCAGCGUGAUCCCUUCUUUACCUUGACAGACCUCAAUGCCAAGGUAAUAGGUUAGUCUUCCAAGAUCACUCAUAUCAAACUUUGUUGCCAUCUCCCUCUUAAACACUUGAAUUGAAUGUGCUGAUGUUCCUGUGACAAGAAGAUCAUCGACAUACACUACAACUAUGAGAGUUCCACCUUUUUCUUCCUUUCGAUACAAUGAAGGUUCUUUCGAACACCUCUGAAACUUAAACUCCCGCAAGAUAGUAUUCAACUUGAUAUUCCAAGCUCUAGGUGCUUGUUUCAAUCCGUAGAGAGCCUUUCUCAGCUUGUAGACUUUGUUUUCUUUUCCUGCAACUUCGAAGCCUUCUGGUUGAGUGACAAAUACCUCUUCUCUGAGCUCUCCAUGGAGAAACGCGGUUUUAACAUCAAGGUGAUGGAUCUCCCAAAGUUUAGAGGCUGCAAGGGCAAUAACUAGUCGGAUAGUCUCAAUGCGAGCCACUGGUGCGAACACUUCAUCAUAAUCCACUCCUUGCUUCUGAACAUAGCCCUUUGCAACCAGACGAGCUUUGUAUUUAGUAAUAGUACCAUCCGCAUUCCUCUUUAUCUUAAAUAUCCACUUCAGACCUAUUGGUCUUACUCCCAUAGGAAGAUCAACAAGUUCCCAAGUUUUAUUCUUUUCAAUACUCGAUAUCUCAUCUUCACAAGCAUCAACCCAUACCUUUAAUCUCUUGGCCUCAGUGAAAUCCCAUGGUUCAUCGUUUAUUAUUGAUAACAGUCGUUCACACUCUGCUUCAGCCAUUAGAACGUAAUCCUCAAGAUAAGCCGGCAAGUUGCUGGUUCUAGACGAUCGUCUCAGUUGUGGUUGUUCUUCCUCAUCAUUACCAUUGUCAUCUUCAUCAUUUUCUUCAUUAUCAAUAAUCUCAGUGUCUGUCUCAUCUCCUGUUUCACCCGUUUCAUCUAUCUCAUCGCUUUCAUCCGUUCCUUUUAGCUCAAUACUAAAAGUGCCACCAUCAUCAUCUUGAACUGUUUUGCUAGUCCAGUUCCAUCCUUUACUCUCAUCAAAAAUUACAUCACGACUGACUACUAUUCUCCUUUUAGUAGGAUCUAGUAAUCGAUAAGCCUUAGACCCUGGUUCUGUUCCCAAGUGAACCAGAACCUUUGACCUAUCAUCGAGCUUCUUUCGGCCCACUGCAUCAGUCUUGGCGUAACAUAUGCAACCAAACACCUUAAGGUGUGAUACAUUUGGUGUUUUACUUCGCAGAACUUCAUAAGGUGUCUUUCCUUCCAGGGAUUUAGUCGCAAUUCUAUUUAUUAGAUACGUAGAAUGCCUAACAGCUUCGCCCCACAGUUCAUUCGGUACCUUCAUGUGUUUUAAUAUACUCCUGGUCAUCUCCAGAAGUGUCCGGUUACGCCUCUCGACAACGCCAUUCUGUUGAGGUGAGUAUGGUGCCGUUAAGUGCCUCUUAAUACCAUUCUCAUCGCAGUACAUGUGAAACUCUUUGGAGCAGAAUUCUCCCCCUCUAUCUGAACGGAACGUUUUUAUCUCGCAUUUUGUUUCUUGUUCGACUAGCUUCUUGAAGUUUUUAAACUUCUCGAAUGCUUCACUUUUCUCUUGUAACAGUAUAGUCCACAUAUAACGUGAAAAAUCAUCAAUUAGUACGAACACAUAUCUCUUUUGCGCCGGUGUUGGUGGUGUGAUAGGUCCGCAGAGGUCACCAUGUAUGAGCUCUAGAGGGCCGGUGGCUCGAUAUGUGGUAGCUUGAGGAAAAGAUUUCCUCGUUUGCUUGCCGAGUAGGCAAGACAUACAUGUUUCCUUUUCAACUCGCAAAGCUGGUAUGCCAGUCACUCGUUCCUUAUUUACCAUUGCUUUCAUUGUAUCUGUAUUGAUAUGCCCAAGACGCGCAUGCCAUCUUGAUGACUCGUUUCGUGCUGAUAUCUGAAGACAGUGGAGAUUGUCGACUUCUAAAGUCACCUUGUAUAGUCGGUUCUUAGCUCGGAUUGAUUUCACCAUCAACUUUCCAUAUCGAUCAAACAACAUGAGUUCUUCAUCUUUCAUUCGAACCUCGCAUCCUGCUUCUGUAGCUUGACCUAAGCUGACUAUGUUACUCUUUAACCCGGGAAUAUAGUACACGUUACCUAGGAUUUUCUUCUCAUCUCCUUUAAAAACAAACUGAAUCGAUCCUUUUCCUUUUAUAUCAAUGCGGGAAUCAUCUCCAAAUCUUACUUUUCCAGUGAUUGUUUCAUCAAGUUUAUGAAAAAAUCUUCUAUUGCCGCUCAUGUGGUUACUCGCACCAUUAUCAAGAUACCAGACAUUAUUUGUAUCUAGACUUGUAUCAAACACACUCGGGUCUACUCUCUGCUCGUUGAGGUAGACAAUCUCAUUCAUCAUUAGCUCAUCAGCCUCUUGCGUUUCCUCUGUUUUGUUUUCAACUGUUUCUUGCAGCUUAAGUCCUUGCUUAUCAGGACAUUCAGUCGCAUAAUGCCCUUGCUUAUCACAAUUAAAACAAGUAAUAUGUGAGAGGUCACGUCCUUGACCUUGUCUGUAUGCAUCUCUUUGGCUAUAGAAGUUUCCGGACCUGCCACGGCCUCUUCCUCUCCAAGUGGAACGGCCUCCGCGUCCUCUGCCUCGGGCUCCCCCAUAGUUGCCAUAAUUCGUUUGAUUAGAUUCAGAGUUGGCAUACAUCAGCUUUCCUUGGUCAUCUUGUUGUUCAUCAUCUUCUUCACAGAUUCUUUCCUCAUAAGCCUUGAGUCUUCCCACGAUAUCUUCAAAACUUGUUACUUUCAAGUCAAGAACUUGUUCAAGUGAAGCAACAAUAUGAAUGUACUUCUUCCGUGGUAGACUUUUCAGGAAUUUUUUCACGAUUUUCGUUUCUUCAAUGACUUCACCGAGAGAAGCAGAUUUUGAUGAUAUCUCCGAUAGCUUGCCUACGAAGGUAUCGAUCGUGUCGUCCUCUUUCAUCUUAAGACGAUCAAAUUCUGCCAUUAGUGUUUGCAAACGAGCUUCUCGUACUCUUUCAGCCCCAACAUGUCGUGCUUUAAUCGCGUCCCACACGGCUUUUGCAUUAUCAAGUUCACCAACUUGCAGUGUUAGCGAUUCGGGAAUUGACUGGAAGAGUAAUGCGAUAGCCAUAUUGUUUUUAUCUUCGAUUUUGUUUCCAGGAUCAAUGGUUUCCCACACUUUGUUGACCUUAAGAGCUAUCUUCAUCUUCAUGGCCCAGACAAUGUAAUUUGUAUUGUUUAGCAUAGGAAGUUUUAUCGACGAGGGUCCGGUUUUCCCGUUUCUUCUUUAACAUCACUCAUGAUAAUAUAGGGCUCUGAUACCAAAUAUUAUCUCGCAGUAUUUAGGUAUAGAACACGAACUCAAGAACACAAGAACUUCAAGUCCAAAUAUCAGUUUCUUAUUAAUCACUCAAUCACUCACUCAAAACUCGUAAUCAUUACAACUCAAUGGUAAUCACUUAUAUAGGACAUAACAAUUCCUAUUCUCAUUAGGAAUAACACAAAUCAUAUUUCCUAAUCACUUUAGUAAUCCAUAUCUUUGUGUGAUUAGGUUAGCUUGUACUUCAAGCUAUCUUUCAAGUUUAUCUCCAACAUAUACAACCCUUCAAGUAAAAGUCUCAUUCCUCUUGUAACCAUAAGGUACGUGUGUAUACUCUUAAUCAUAGACAGACAUUAACUUCAUGUUCAAGCUCCCGGAAAUGACAAUCUCCGUGGGUUCACAGCUCCAGG